GUCCACGCCGUAAACGAUGAGUACUAGCUGUCGGAGGUUACCCCCUUCGGUGGCGCAGCUAACGCAUUAAGUACUCCGCCUGGGAAGUACGCUCGCAAGAGUGAAACUCAAAGGAAUUGACGGGGACCCCGCACAAGUAGCGGAGCAUGUGGUUUAAUUCGAAGCAACGCGAAGAACCUUACCUAAGCUUGACAUCCUUUUGACCGAUGCCUAAUCGCAUCUUUCCCUUCGGGGACAGAAGUGACAGGUGGUGCAUGGUUGUCGU
RNAcentral lists this ribosomal RNA (265 nucleotides) under uncultured bacterium. Its description in RNAcentral is "partial 16S ribosomal RNA". It matches the Rfam family "Bacterial small subunit ribosomal RNA", at positions 793 to 1055 of the family's 1533-position model. The record is from RNAcentral.